UACGUAGGGUGCAAGCGUUAAUCGGAAUUACUGGGCGUAAAGCGUGCGCAGGCGGUUUUGUAAGACUGUCGUGAAAUCCCCGGGCUCAACCUGGGAAUGGCGAUGGUGACUGCAAGGCUAGAGUUUGGCAGUGGGGGGUAGAAUUCCACGUGUAGCAGUGAAAUGCGUAGAUAUGUGGAGGAACACCGAUGGCGAAGGCAGCCCCCUGGGUCAAAACUGACGCUCAUGCACGAAAGCGUGGGGAGCAAACAGG
This 253-nucleotide ribosomal RNA is filed under the name uncultured bacterium. RNAcentral's name for it is "partial 16S ribosomal RNA". It matches the Rfam family "Bacterial small subunit ribosomal RNA", at positions 524 to 776 of the family's 1533-position model. The record is from RNAcentral.